Molecule: non-coding RNA, 728 nt
Filed under: Scutopus robustus
Lineage: Eukaryota; Metazoa; Mollusca; Caudofoveata; Limifossorida; Scutopodidae
Source: RNAcentral
UUAUUUUGGUUCUGGAUGGGAAAAUAGGUUAGUCACUUACAUAUUAUGGCUGUUUUGAUUAUAAAUUGUACGUAAAGUCAGUAUGAAGAUUUGGAGAUAGAGGAAACUCUGAUUUUAGUAAGUGUUUAAUUAAAAGUUGCUAAUCUUUGUGCCAGCAGCUGCGGUUAUACAAGAGCUUUAGUUAUUUAUUACGGCGAAUAAAAAUUUGGGAUUAGGUUGCUGUAGAACUAUUUAUUUGGGUAGAAUCAGGAAGAGACGGAUUCAUAGACAGCUUUAUAUAUUUUUUUUGUGAAAGAAAGGUGUGAAACUAGGAUUAGAUACCCUAUUAUUCUUUUGGUAAAGAGAAGGGGAUUAAGGGGAAUAGGCCCGAAACUUAAAGAGACUUGGCGGUUCCUAUAAGUCAGGGAGACUUGUCGGUAAAAUUGAUAAUCCACAGAAAUUUCUUCUUUCCCAAGGUACGUGUAUUUCCGUUAUCAGUCUAUUCUGUAAAGAGGAAUAAAAAGACAAUAAGUUUUUAACUUUAUUUCAGGUAAAGUGCGGCUUAUGGAGGAAGUCCUGAUGGGUCGCAUUUAUUGUAAUUAUUUUGAGAUAAAUAGUUAAAUUCGGACUUGAUAGUAAAAAGGAUGAAAAAGACUUAUUGAAUUGAGAAAAUGGGAAUGUACAUAUCGCCCGUCGCUCUCGAGAGAGAUAAGUCGUAACAUAGUAAGGUUAGCGGAAGCUGGUCUUGG